CGGGCUUAGGAUCGCGAACAGUUUGAAGGGGCACACUCAGACUGGACAGCCUAUAUAGAUAUCCCCUCCAGACGACGAGGAGACUCGACGAGUGAUCCAGGAGAAAGCCUCUCGUUCGAUUGGCCACCACGAACCGUUAUCUUCGACAAGCUUGCAACGAAAAAAUAUGUUCAAAAGAAAGAAAAAAAGAUGAAGAGAAGAAAAACGAAGAGAAAGAAACGUCUCGCGAGCUAAUUUUAAUGGACGUGUUUCCACGAUGGUGUGUACAGGAACGCCCUCAGAGGAUAAAUGAAAGAGAAGAAACGAUGGAUUACUGUGUUGGAUGUAAUUGAUCACGAAGACAAUGGAUUCCCUCUAUUUAUGACAAUAUCGUCGAUCUCGUCGGUUUGGGUAUCGACGGCGGGUGAAAGCAAGGCAGAAUAUACAUUCCUCCACGGUGUCCAGGCCUCUACUAGUGCUUUUUCCGUGUAAUUACUUUAAUAAUUCGUAUCGACUUCCAGUGGGAACUCCUUUCGCUGGACACGCAAGUUGGCUCGUUUCUUGGUCUCUAUAUUUGCUAGAAACUUCCAUUUUCUUCGUUAUCUUGCCCGAAGGAGAAAAAGAAGAACACAAUUUGUCGCUACUCCGGGGAAACACUAAGGGAAGUAAUGAAAUUAUAGAGGAUUCUCGCCGGAUGGCAAACAUGACCGAGAAAUUCUCGAAAGACUUGGCUCGAUCAUUUUUAGAAGCAUUAUUGGUUCAGAGAUAUUGUUACAAGAAAAAAAAAUAACCCUGUUUAUUGUAAAUUUAAUUUAUUUGUUCAAUGUCGAGCAAUCGUUGCGAUUAUUCUAACCUCGAAAAAUAUUCUAACCUCAAAUUCCACGCAUUUCUAUCUCAAUUAAAAUCCGUUAAAUGUAACAAAGAGAGAGGCAUUCGCCUCUCGAAGAAUCUUAAGUUUAAUUUAAGUAAUAUCGAAGCGUGAAGUUAAAAAAAAAAAGAAACACAAGAAUGUUAAUCUCUUCGAUUCGAAUUGCAAAUUAUGUUAUUAUUUUGUAUCACACGCCAUUCCCAUCGAUGAAUUGUAUCGAUUAUAAUCGAUUCUCUCUGUAUGAAGAUUAUUCUCGCGUAUCGACUCGUUUUAAACUCGAUUAAAAUUAGAAUUAAUAACUGUCUUGAGCGAAGCGUAUUGCACAGGCUUUAUCGUUUUACCGCGAGCGGAAGCAACAGUUAAGAUUAAUUAUUCUUUAUGGCAGGCUCGUAAUCGUACGUCUUCUAAUAAAAAUAUUUAUUUAAUUCUACUUCUAUUAUUGUUUAAAGAAGAAGAGUGAUUUAAUUUUGUUUUCGCAUUUGAUUUAUCCAACCUCAAAGAAUUAUUAUUCCAUUGAUCUGUUAUCAUUAAAAUAUGUGCAAGAUGUGCUUUAAUUCUUUUAAAAGAACAAAAUUGAAAGAACAGAAUGAGUCACGGUGAAAGAUACUUUCUAAAACUGAUGCUUCUCACAUUUAAAAUUUUUACACAGUUUUUAACUCGCGUUAUUAUUUAUAUAUAAAAACAAAAUCUACCUUAGAUCCAUCUUAGAAUUUCUAUUCCAAAAAGAGAAAAACUGGAACAUCCUUUUUUUACAAUCCAACAAAAUAACCACGACUGUCUAUUAAUUAAAAAAAUAUAUAAAAUAUUAAAGAUAAACAAAUAUGCCUAUUCAUAUCAUCAUCAAUUUCCAUAAGUUAUUACAUUAGAAUAAUCAGAAAGAGAAAAAAAAAAAAGAAAAAAAAAGAUAUCGACCGAGCAAGAUUUAUCUACUGAAUUUUUCAAAACGCGUCCAAUUUCCGUCGCGCGAGCAACGUAGGCGUGCAUUUGUUAAAUCGUGAAAAAGAAGAGACGUUCCACUUUUGUUUUUUCCACUAUUUGAAACACGGUGUAACGGGGUUACCGCGAUCGUUGUUUCUUCCCUAUCGUAAGCGUGGAGGA
RNAcentral lists this long non-coding RNA (1945 nucleotides) under Apis mellifera (honey bee). RNAcentral's name for it is "uncharacterized LOC102654335, transcript variant X4". The record is from RNAcentral. Lineage: Eukaryota; Metazoa; Arthropoda; Insecta; Hymenoptera; Apidae.